GAGCGCUGGGCGGGGUCCCCUCUUAAGGAGAUGCGAAAGGGCGCCGGCCUGAGCCCCGCCUGCGUGCACGCCUUCUCCCCUGCGAGGCCCGUAGCACCAGUUUCUGGUGCAUCCCUUACCACAGACAUCACACCACAAGACCGAGGGGGGCAUCCUGAGUCACCGAAGGAGCUCCUCACAUCCUUUAUCGAAGCAUCUUUGUGGAGCAAUGAGUAAAAGGAUGUUCACACAUCAGUACCAGCACAACAGAAAUCCCCAGAGGUCCACGUUGCUGAGGAGCCCAGGCACUAGAUCCCCAGGCGAGCCAGGCAGCUGUGACCCAGGGCCAGGAUGGCCUCAGCCUCAGCGUUUGUCUUCUGAAUGAAAUAUUCUUCCCAUUUCCUUUUCUAAGUGCCUUUGCCUGAAUAGAGAGAGAUUGCUGAUUUCUGUAAUUUAUUUUGUAUUCAUCUAACACACUAAAUUCUCUUAUUACUUGUUUUUUCAUAAAAGUCUCUUAGAUUUUCUAAGAAAACAGACAUAUCAUUAGCAUUAGGAACUUUCUCUCUUUUUCCUUUAUUUAUACCAGUUAUUUUAUUUACAUUUGCUAGACUCACCAGUAAAAGGGAUUAUAGUAAUGCUUGUCUCAUUCCUGAUUUUUAUUGUUUAUUUUUUCAUGAGGAAGACUGGCCCUGAGCUAACAUCUGUGCCAAUCUUCCUCUGUUUUGUGUGUGGGAUGCUGCCACGGCACGGCUUGAGGGGUGGUGUGUAGGUCUGCACCCGGGAUCCAAACCUGAGAAUCCCUGGCCACUGAAGUGGAGUAUGUGAACUUAACCACUACACCACUGGGCCAGCCCUGAUUCCUGAUUUUUAAAUGAAAGGUUUUAUUUUGGCCAUUUAAGAUAAUGUUUGUUAGUGGCUUUUCUUAAUUAUUUAAGUGAUUUUCUUCUGCUUCUAUUUUGCUUUGAGUUUCCCUUGGCAUUGGUUGCUUGCCUUUUCACUACCUAUUGAUAAAGGUUAGGGGUUUUUUUCCCUUUAAUUUUUAGUGUAAUCCAUAUGUGGAUAGACUGCAUGGAAUUCAAGUGCCCUUUUCUUCCUGUAAUAAAACCUGUUUUGUCAUGGUGUAUUACUCUUUCGAUUCAUUCCUCUGCUCUGUACUCUCAUAUAUUGUUUAAACAGUUGGCAUCUAUAGUCAUCAAUGAAAUUGGCCUGUGAUUGGAAUUGUUGCUGUAGUUGUUGAAUUCCUUCUUAGGCUUUGGUAUUCGAGUUAUUCUGGCUUCAUAAAAUUAACUGGAGAACUUUCAGUCAUUUUCUAAGACCCACAAUAGUUGAAGUAAUAAUGGAAUUAUCCAUUCUUUAAUGGUUAGAUUAAAAAUUCAGCUGUGAAUUCAUCUGCCUGCCGCCUUCUUCAAUAGGAGAUCAUUAAUCACUUCUCCAAUCUGUUCCAUAGUAAUUGGUCUAUUCAAGUUUUCACUUCUUCUGUGUCAUUUGUGAUUACGUAUGUUUUCCUAGGGAAGUAUUUAUUUCUUCUAGGUUUUACUUCUUUUAAUGUACUGCUACAGAGCGACCAUUAGUAUUUACUUAGAAUUCUUUUCAUCUCUUUCCUAUUUUCACAUUGUUAAUCUUGUCUAAUUUUGAUUUCCUUCUCUUUUUCUUAUCUGGCUCACUUGGUGUUUAUUUUACUGGUCUUUGUAAAGAAUCAAUCUUUGAAUGUAUUAUUCUUUUCUGUUAAUUUAUCAAUAUUAAUAAUUUCAGCUUUUAUCCUUAUUAAUUCCCUCUUCAAAGUUUCUUUUGUUUUGUUUUUCUUGUUGUUUUUCCUUGAAUUCAUAAAGAUAAGUACGUAAUUCCCCAAUUUUCCCCCUUCUCCUUCUAUGAUUAAAGGCAACCGUUUUCCUCUGAGCUCAGUUUUACGGUUCCCCAUCGUUUUAAUAUAAAGUGUCUUUUUUUCCCAAAGCUUCUGGGAAUUUCAAUAUUUCUCCUUGCUGUCGUCUGAAUGUGUGCAUUCCCCUCAAAUUCAUGUGUUGAAAUCCUAAGCCCCCAAAAUGAUGGAAUUAGGAGGUGGGGCCUUUGGGAGGUGCUUAAGUUUUGAGGGUGGAGCACUCAUGAAUGGGAUUAGUGCCUUUGUAAAAAAGAAAAAACUCCAGAAAGAUCCCUAGCCUCUUCCACCAUUUGAGGACAUGGUGAAAACGCACCAGCUAUGAACCAGGAAGAAGACUCUUUCCAGGAGGCCACCAUACUGGCACCUUGAUCUUGGACUUCCAGCCUCCAAAACGCUGGGUCCACUUUGAGGACAGUAACUUAUCAAAGGUAUCAGCAAAACCGGCAAACUGGGGAGAAACAGCACCAAAGACAGCAACAGACUCUGAUAUUUUGGGAGCUCAAGCAGAGGGGAAGGAAAAUGGCAAAUGCUCUAUGACAUCCUAAGUUCUCAAGCAACUCUCCACCAGCCCCAUUUCUCUCCCUGAAAGAACUGAGGAACACACUGAGUGGAACUCAAGUUACCUCAUGAGAGAGCUGAGAUCACAAGGCAGCUGAGUAACCUGAAUUCCAAUGGGAAACAAGCUCCUUAAAGGAGAGGUGGAGAACAUGAACCUUUUGACCUGUGCGAGAUUAGUGGAAAAACUGGUGGCCACCAUACAAACAGGCUUCCAGAGGAUCCUCACAAAAAGACUGGAGACAGGGCAAGAGAUGUGAGAGAGCCACCUCACUAAUGCAGAAACCACAAUAAAGGUUCUUGCCCACAUUUUCCCCUCUUCCUUGGCCUCCUGACGUACCGUGUGUUCCCUUUGUGGCCCUGCGGAGUGUGCUGUGUCUUCUCUCUCUAGGGAUCUACUUUAGCAAGCUGAUUAUAAAUUGGAUGGAAAAGUAAAAGAUCAAGAAGCAAAUAGGAGAACACCUGCUGCCAAUAAUCGAGAAUUUCAAUAAAGUUAUAAGAAUUCAAGUGCAGACGUAUGGGACCAAAUGGAAAACUCAGAAACAG
Long non-coding RNA from Equus asinus (donkey), 2956 nucleotides. NCBI's taxonomy places the organism in Eukaryota, Metazoa, Chordata, Mammalia, Perissodactyla, Equidae. The record is from Ensembl.